This 245-nucleotide ribosomal RNA is filed under the name uncultured bacterium. RNAcentral's name for it is "partial 16S ribosomal RNA". It matches the Rfam family "Bacterial small subunit ribosomal RNA", at positions 106 to 334 of the family's 1533-position model. The record is from RNAcentral.
CGGGAGUAACGCGUAGGUAACCGGCCUUGUUAGCGGGGGAGUAACUAUUGGAAACGAUAGCUAAUACCGCAUAACAAAUAGGAGUGACCCACUGUCAUUUAUUUUGUAAAGGGGACAAAUAGCUCCCACUACAAGAUGGACCUGUGUUGUAUUAGCUAGUAGGUGAGGUAACGGCUCACCUAGGCGACGAUACAUAGCCGACCUGAGAGGGUGAUCGGCCACACUGGGACUGAGACACGGCCCAA